GACAGAGGUGCCAAGCGUUAGGCGGAAUCACUGGGCUUAAAGCGUGUGUAGGCGGGUCGUUAAGGACCUUGUGAAAUCCCCCGGCUCAACCGGGGAACGGCUGGGUAUACUGGCGAUCUUGAGCCACCUAGGGGCAGUCGGAACAAGUGGUGGAGCGGUGAAAUGCGUAGAUAUCACUUGGAACGCCAAUGGUGAAAACAGACUGCUGGGGGUGUGCUGACGCUGAGACACGAAAGCCAGGGGAGCAAACGGG
RNAcentral lists this ribosomal RNA (253 nucleotides) under uncultured bacterium. Its description in RNAcentral is "partial 16S ribosomal RNA". It matches the Rfam family "Bacterial small subunit ribosomal RNA", at positions 524 to 776 of the family's 1533-position model. The record is from RNAcentral.